RNAcentral lists this ribosomal RNA (396 nucleotides) under uncultured bacterium. Its description in RNAcentral is "partial 16S ribosomal RNA". It matches the Rfam family "Bacterial small subunit ribosomal RNA", at positions 362 to 772 of the family's 1533-position model. The record is from RNAcentral.
UAUUGGACAAUGGGGGGAACCCUGAUCCAGUGACGCCGCGUGAGUGAAGAAGUAUUUCGGUANGUAAAGCUCUAUCAGCUGGGAANNCCNNNANGACGGUACCUGACUAAGGAGCCCCGGCUAACUACGUNNNCGCAGCCGCGGUAAUACGUAGGGGGCAAGCGUUAUCCGGAUUUACUGGGUGUAAAGGGAGCGUAGACGGCGAUGCAAGUCUGAAGUGAAAGGCGGGGGCCCAACCCCCGGACUGCUUUGGAAACUGUAUGGCUGGAGUGCAGGAGAGGUAAGUGGAAUUCCUAGUGUAGCGGUGAAACGCGUAGAUAUUAGGAGGAACACCAGUGGCGAAGGCGGCUUACUGGACUGUAACUGACGUUGAGGCUCGAAAGCGUGGGGAGCAAA